Molecule: long non-coding RNA, 1337 nt
Organism: Oncorhynchus nerka (sockeye salmon)
Lineage: Eukaryota; Metazoa; Chordata; Actinopteri; Salmoniformes; Salmonidae
Exons: 2
Source: RefSeq, a predicted model, not a curated record
CAAAUUAUUUUUCGAUUUUGAAUGUCAUACACAUCCACACGAACGUAUAAAAUAUGUAACAUUCUAUAAAUGUUUUUAAAACAAUGUCGUAAUGAUUAUAGCAUUUUUUGUAACGUUACCUUUCAAGCCUCAUCCACUGCAGUCCCCUUUUCACAUGUACUUCGGGAACCUGGCUGGGUGAAUGACUUCGUUGCUGUGUUGAAGAAAUGGUGAUUGUUCAUGCAUUUUGUGCACACAAUUUGAUAUCUAAAUGUAUGUCGUGUUUUCAAAGGCUUAACUGGAUCUGCUGGGCUAUAUAGUUAGCCUGUGAACCUUACCAAAUCAGCUUGGGAGCUUUUAGCUGCAUACUGAGCUUGCUUGCUAACACUACGAAAAGCCUUCAACUAUGCAGUUGCUAUGAAUGCAUGGUCAAGUGUCAUAUAUAGCUAGCUAUCUUGGUAAUUCAAUACUCCCUAUGCUAAGAUAGUUAUAGUGAACGUACAUCAUACAUUACAGGGAUAGAGCUGUCAUUAAAUCAGUUACAUCAUGUGUGUAACUUCAAUCCAACAGAAAACUCGAAUUUGACCACCAUGGCUGCCCAGGUAACAGAGGCAGACCAGAUUAAACGAGGAUACUUCUCAUACACAAUUCAAUCUGGUUUAAUCUGAGUGUUAAAUGAACACAUUCAUAAAUAUUGUUUCUGUUCACAGUUCAAAUAAUUUCUUGGCCCCUACAAUAAACUCAGAGAACUGCUUCAUGGACUGUGAGGGAUUUUACCACUAGAGAAGUAAAGCCAGAGUCCACCUGUUCAGAGAGCUGCCCUACAGAAGUACAUGAAUGACCCAGCGCAUCCAGGAGUACCACAUCCAACAGAACGAAGCCCCGGCACAGAAAGCAGGUUUAAUGGGACCACGGUAGAGAACUACCGCCCUUUAAACAUGGACAUAACGCUAGUAGUCCCCCAUCCAGUCUGAUCACAUGAUCUACACACCACCAUGAAGCUGUUAUUUGUGAAUCAGCAGAUGGCUAACCUACAUCUACUUCUCAGGCUGACUGCUUGGACACUUCUAACCAGAGGGCUGUUAUGAGCCCUCACAAGGAAAAGCCUGAUCAUGAUGUAUGAGAUCAUGCUGAGUUUUGAUCCAGGCAGAAUGUGAAUGGUUUAUUAUAGUGUAUGUAAGGUAUUCUUUUCUGAUGUGAAUUAAGAAUAACAUACUAGCAAUAACUUAGGAAAAGGGACCAAUUAACACUCCCAUAAAAAUCCAUAUUUGUUACUAAAUGUCUUGUAACAUUGACCAGAUGUCCCCUCUUGUGCAACAGUCAUUAAAUAAAAUGACCUGGGUAUACUGGUAAUUUUC